RNAcentral lists this ribosomal RNA (244 nucleotides) under Escherichia coli. RNAcentral describes it as "partial 16S ribosomal RNA". It matches the Rfam family "Bacterial small subunit ribosomal RNA", at positions 329 to 570 of the family's 1533-position model. The record is from RNAcentral. Lineage: Bacteria; Pseudomonadati; Pseudomonadota; Gammaproteobacteria; Enterobacterales; Enterobacteriaceae.
GUCCAAACUCCUACGGGAGGCAGCAGUGAGGAAUAUUGGUCAAUGGGCGCAGGCCUGAACCAGCCAAGUAGCGUGAAGGAUGACUGCCCUAUGGGUUGUAAACUUCUUUUAUAAAGGAAUAAAGUCGGGUAUGUAUACCCGUUUGCAUGUACUUUAUGAAUAAGGAUCGGCUAACUCCGUGCCAGCAGCCGCGGUAAUACGGAGGAUCCGAGCGUUAUCCGGAUUUAUUGGGUUUAAAGGGAGC